UACGUAGGUGGCAAGCGUUGUCCGGAAUUAUUGGGCGUAAAGCGCGCGCAGGCGGCUUCUUAAGUCUGAUGUGAAAUCUCGGGGCUCAACCCCGAGCGGCCAUUGGAAUCUGGGAAGCUUGAGUGCAGAAGAGGAGAGUGGGAUUCCACGUGUAGCGGUGAAAUGCGUAGAUAUGUGGAGGAACACCAGUGGCGAAGGCGACUCUCUGGUCUGUAACUGACGCUGAGGCGCGAAAGCGUGGGGAGCAAACAGG
Molecule: ribosomal RNA, 253 nt
Filed under: uncultured bacterium
Lineage: Bacteria
Description: partial 16S ribosomal RNA
Rfam family: Bacterial small subunit ribosomal RNA
Source: RNAcentral